Molecule: long non-coding RNA, 1989 nt
Organism: Oncorhynchus tshawytscha (Chinook salmon)
Lineage: Eukaryota; Metazoa; Chordata; Actinopteri; Salmoniformes; Salmonidae
Source: Ensembl
GGACGGUCAGUCAGUCAGUCAGACAUGUUAGGCAAUGGGACGGUCAGUCAGUCAGACACGUUAGGCAAUGGGACGGUCAGUCAGUCAGAUACGUUAGGCAAUGGGACAGUCAGUCAGUCAGACACAUUAGGCAAUGGGACGGUCAGUCAGUUAUACAUGUUAGGCAAUGGGACGGUCAGUCUGUCAGUCAGACAUGUUUGGCAAUGGGACGGUCAGUCAGUCAGUCAGUUAGACACGUUAGGCAAUGGGAUGGUCAGUCAGUCAGUCAGACACGUUAGGCAAUGGGACGGUCAGUCAGUCAGUCAGACAUAUACGUUAGGCAAUGGGACGGUCAGUCAGUCAGACACAUUAGGCAAUGGGACGGUCAGUCAGUCAGUCAGACACAUUAGGCAAUGGGACAGUCACUCAGUCAGUCAGACACGUUAGGCAAUGGGAUGGUCAGUCAGUUAGUCAGUCAGACACGUUAGGCAAUGGGACGGUCAGUCAGUCAGUCAGUCAGACACGUUAGGCAAUGGGACAGUCAGUCAGUCAGUCAGAUACGUUAGGCAAUGGGACGGUCAGUCAGUCAGACACAUUAGGCAAUGGGACGGUCAGUCAGUCAGUCAGACACAUUAGGCAAUGGGACGGUCAGUCAGUCAGUCAGACAUGUUAGGCAAUGGGACGGUCAGUCAGUCAGUCAGACAUGUUAGGCAAUGGGACGGUCAGUCAGUCAGACACGUUAGGCAAUGGGACGGUCAGUCAGUCAGAUACGUUAGGCAAUGGGACAGUCAGUCAGUCAGACACAUUAGGCAAUGGGACGGUCAGUCAGUUAUACAUGUUAGGCAAUGGGACGGUCAGUCUGUCAGUCAGACAUGUUUGGCAAUGGGACGGUCAGUCAGUCAGUCAGUUAGACACGUUAGGCAAUGGGAUGUUCAGUCAGUCAGUCAGACACGUUAGGCAAUAGGACGGUCAGUCAGUCAGUCAGACAUGUUAGGCAAUGGGACGGUCAGUCAGUUAGACACGUUAGGCAAUGGGAUGGUCAGUCAGUCAGUCAGUCAGACACGUUAGGCAAUGGGAUGGUCAGUCAGUCAGUCAGACACGUUAGGCAAUGGGACGGUCAGUCAGUCAGUCAGUCAGACAUGUUAGGCAAUGGGACAGUCAGUCAGUCAGACACGUUAGGCAAUGGGACAGUCAGUCAGUCAGACACGUUAGGCAAUGGGACAGUCAGUCAGUUAGUCAGUCAGACACAUUAGGCAAUGGGACAGUCAGUCAGUCAGACAUGUUAGGCAAUGGGACAGUGAGUCAGUCAGACACGUUAGGCAAUGGGACAGUCAGUCAGUCAGACACGUUAGGCAAUGGGACAGUCAGUCAGUCAGACACGUUAGGCAAUGGGACGGUCAGUCAGUCAGUCAGUCAGACAUGUUAGGCAAUGGGACAGUCAGUCAGUCAGACACGUUAGGCAAUGGGACAGUCAGUCCGUCAGACACGUUAGGCAAUGGGACAGUCAGUCAGUUAGUCAGUCAGACACGUUAGGCAAUGGGACAGUCAGUCAGUCAGUCAGAUACGUUAGGCAAUGGGACGGUCAGUCAGUCAGACACAUUAGGCAAUGGGACGGUCAGUCAGUCAGUCAGACACAUUAGGCAAUGGGACAGUCACUCAGUCAGUCAGACACGUUAGGCAAUGGGAUGGUCAGUCAGUUAGUCAGUCAGACACGUUAGGCAAUGGGACAGUCAGUCCGUCAGACACGUUAGGCAAUGGGACAGUCAGUCAGUUAGUCAGUCAGACACGUUAGGCAAUGGACAGUCAGUCAGUCAGACAGACACGUUAGGCAAUGGGACGGUCAGUCAGUUAGACACGUUAGGCAAUGGGUCAGUCAGUCAGUCGACAUGUUAUUAUUAGGGUCUACAGUUUACCUCCGCCCCCUUGGUCUAUCCCUCUGACCUGAGGUACGUAGAGGAGUCUACAGUCCAUUACUAAUCAAACAUCGUCUCUCUGUCUGUCUCUCCUUAG